AGUGUUGUCAUUAAAUAUGUAACUGUGAUAACUCUGUAGGCAAUCGUUCGUAAUGAAGAAUUGAAGAAACCAAAAUGAAAGCCCUUCUCCUCGUAGUUAGCCUAGUCGUAAUUAGCGUGGUGGUGAUUAUUAUCCCACCGUGCGGGGCUGCACUUGGACGAAGAAAGGCUUAUUAAACAAGCCUGAACCUGAAAAGAACCCCCGCACCGAAAGGUCCGGGGGUUUUUUUUGGUCAGUAUAAUUUGCGGCGGGAACAGAAAAUGAGCAACAGCAUAAUGUUCUGC
This 284-nucleotide small RNA is filed under the name uncultured Ewingella sp. Its description in RNAcentral is "Soft rot Enterobacteriaceae Rev 39 5'UTR". It matches the Rfam family "Soft rot Enterobacteriaceae Rev 39 5'UTR". From Rfam's summary of the family: From bacteria cultured under starvation conditions. Lineage: Bacteria; Pseudomonadati; Pseudomonadota; Gammaproteobacteria; Enterobacterales; Yersiniaceae. The record is from RNAcentral.